Non-coding RNA from Doryrhamphus excisus (bluestripe pipefish), 622 nucleotides. NCBI's taxonomy places the organism in Eukaryota, Metazoa, Chordata, Actinopteri, Syngnathiformes, Syngnathidae. The record is from RefSeq and is a predicted model, not a curated record.
CUUAGCAGUUUCAACUAGUUUGGGCGCGAAUUCGACGACAGUUUUGUAAGUCGCAUAUAAAUGUAGAGAAUGCGUUUGGACUACUGAAUCUUAUUUCAUUUCAUGGUAUGUUUGUUCUUAUGGACCCUCUUUGUGAUGUUUCAGUUCGCUGAAAAGCAUCUAUGGAUGAGUUUAUCAGUUCCAAAUUGACUGAGUGGCAGCUACCAGGGCUGAUUGAAAGAUGCCAGGGGAGAAGUCGCCCUGACGCUUCUGCCCAUCCUGCUCCCUCCGCCUGUGUUUAAAAAGGGCAGGAAAUUGGUCCGGGCGAGUAUUCAGGAGGUGAAGAGAGCCUUCCUCGAUGUUAAGCCCGUCGGCGCUAACAUGGUGGAAUACUUGCAGCAGGCAGAAUCGCCUACCCAUUUGUGCUGCUGCUCACAGAGCCUCUUGUUCUAUGUAUAUAUCACUCUCUCAUAGCUGUCCCCUCACCCGUUCUUAAAAUGUUAUUUUUUUUGUACAUAAUUUGUUCAUAUGUGAAGGAAAUGUUGUGAGUUGUUAUAUUUGUAUGUUCUGGAAAUGUUGAAUUUUAAUAAAUAUUUUAUUGUUACAUUGGUGUCAUUAUCAUUGUAAUAUAUUAUUAAUAGUA